GGGCGUAUGGUGUAGUUGGUUUAUCACGCCCGCUUUGCAUUCCUGUUGGCGGCUUGCGGGAGGUGUUGGGUUCAAUUCCCAAUGCGUCCA
Molecule: transfer RNA, 90 nt
Organism: Pleurotus ostreatus PC15
Lineage: Eukaryota; Fungi; Basidiomycota; Agaricomycetes; Agaricales; Pleurotaceae
Rfam family: tRNA
About the family: Transfer RNA (tRNA) molecules are approximately 80 nucleotides in length. Their secondary structure includes four short double-helical elements and three loops (D, anti-codon, and T loops).
Source: Rfam